GGGAAAUGAAACACAUGCUGACUAUGCCUGCAGAGGGGAAAACAAACUGAAAUAUUUAAACUUCUCAAAUCAGUCUUCCCACUUUAAAUAUAAGUUAUAUCAUAAUCAGCCAAAAACUUCAGAGGGAGUCAAAAGAAAAGAAGAAAUGUCAUUACCUCGCCCCCAAGUUCCCUUUUAGGUGCUCCUCUGAGUUUGCCAUGUUCUUGAUUGGGCUGUCCUGAAAUCCAUGGCUUCAGAUGGAUAUACCUUCUUCCUCCAAAGUUCUCAUGCCUCUGGGCUUGGUCUCCAGACCUCUGAUCAUCCUGGCUGCUGCCCUCUGCAUGUGUUCCAAUUUGUCCACGUUCUUUUUUGAAGUUAGGCCUCCAGAACUGCAAGAAUAAUCCAGUGGUCAUAUUGGCGUAAUGGCUGCAAUUUCAUAUGAGGGUCUUCAGAGGUCACCAGUUUUAUUCAGCGGAUUUUAUCCAUAAAUUGGUCAAAGGGAUUUGAAAAGCCUCAUGUUGUGUGAGAGAUGGAAUGUGACAUUGAACAAACCUGGAGUUACAGUAUUGACUUGAUAUCCUCGAGGCAACAAGGGGAGCUCGUUGCA
Eublepharis macularius is the source of this 586-nucleotide long non-coding RNA. RefSeq lists it as uncharacterized. The record is from RefSeq and is a predicted model, not a curated record. The transcript has 6 exons. Lineage: Eukaryota; Metazoa; Chordata; Lepidosauria; Squamata; Eublepharidae.